UACGUAGGGUGCGAGCGUUAAUCGGAAUUACUGGGCGUAAAGCGUGCGCAGGCGGUUUUGUAAGCCAGAUGUGAAAUCCCCGGGCUUAACCUGGGAAUGGCAUUUGGGACUGCAAGGCUGGAGUGUGGCAGAGGAGACUGGAAUUCCCGGUGUAGCAGUGAAAUGCGUAGAUAUCGGGAGGAAUACCGAUGGCGAAGGCAGGUCUCUGGGCCACUACUGACGCUGAGAAGCGAAAGCAUGGGGAGCGAACAGG
RNAcentral lists this ribosomal RNA (253 nucleotides) under uncultured bacterium. Its description in RNAcentral is "partial 16S ribosomal RNA". It matches the Rfam family "Bacterial small subunit ribosomal RNA", at positions 524 to 776 of the family's 1533-position model. The record is from RNAcentral.